UGGCAUUGCCAACUUGGUCAUUUUUGUGAGUUAAAGAUAAACAAGUAAUACAAAGAAGAAUUUUUUGAUCUGUAUGAUUUUUGAAUCAUAUAGAACUUAUAAAUCUUAUCUCAUAGAUAAAAUGACCCGAGAUCCUAUUUACUGAACAUGAAAAAAGGUAUGAGUAAAAAUAUUAGAUCUUGAUCCAAAGAUAAACACCCCAUAUGAGACAUAGUGUGUUCCUUAAAUUGCUUCACAAAUCUUGUUAUCUCAUUCUGGGGGUAUGCCCUAAAAAUUACUACAUGUGUUAUGAAUUAGAUACCG
This 303-nucleotide long non-coding RNA is filed under the name Elaeis guineensis (African oil palm). RNAcentral's name for it is "long non-coding RNA (EGUI_LNC068127)". The record is from RNAcentral. Lineage: Eukaryota; Viridiplantae; Streptophyta; Magnoliopsida; Arecales; Arecaceae.